This 119-nucleotide small RNA is filed under the name Marmota monax (woodchuck). The record is from RNAcentral. Lineage: Eukaryota; Metazoa; Chordata; Mammalia; Rodentia; Sciuridae.
GCUGGGCGCGGUGGUGCAAGUCUGUAAACCCAGCAGCUCAGGAGGCUGAGACAGGAGGAUCACGAGUUCAAAGCCAGCCUAGGCAAGGCACUAAGCAACUCAGUGAGACCCUGUCUCUA